GCCAGAGGCAGUAGCGGACACCUAUAGUCCCAGCUGUGUGGGAGGCUGAAGUGGGAGGGUCGCUUGAGCCCAGGAGCUCUGGGCUGUCGUGUGCUGUGCCCAUCGGGUGUCCACACUGAGUUCAGCAUCAAUCCGGUGGCCUCCCCUUAGCAUGGACCACUAGUUGCCUAAGGAGGAGUGAGCUGGCCCAGGUUGGAAUGGAGCAGGUGAAGACUCCCGUGCUCAUCAGUCAUGAGAUCCCACUUGUGAAGAGCCACUGCCCUCCAGCCUGGGUCAACAAAGACAGACCCCACCUUU
RNAcentral lists this signal recognition particle RNA (297 nucleotides) under Carlito syrichta (Philippine tarsier). RNAcentral's name for it is "Metazoan signal recognition particle RNA (ENSTSYG00000034343.1)". It matches the Rfam family "Metazoan signal recognition particle RNA". Rfam says of the family: The signal recognition particle (SRP) is a universally conserved ribonucleoprotein. It is involved in the co-translational targeting of proteins to membranes. Lineage: Eukaryota; Metazoa; Chordata; Mammalia; Primates; Tarsiidae. The record is from RNAcentral.